UAUUCGGGGUUUCAGCAGACGGCAGACAAGUGCUUCAUUUGUGGCCACCUCAUCAUGGAAAUGAUCUUGCAGGCUCUUGGGAAGUCAUACCAUCCUGGCUGUUUCCGCUGUGUGGUGUGCAAUGAAUGUCUGGACGGCAUACCCUUCACUGUAGAUAUGGAGAACAACAUUUACUGUGUCAAAGACUAUCACACGGUUUUUGCACCCAAGUGUGCUUCCUGUCACCAGCCUAUUUUGCCAGUCCAGGUAUGGUUUUCUUUGUCAUUUGAUUAAUACUUUGGCCUCAGCACAGCCAUGAUGGGCUGGCUACACACGCAACUUUGUGCCUGUGCAGCUGAGUUCUCACCAUGCUCCAGUCCUAGUAAUUAAACUGCUUUGACUUUUGAUUUCUGUCUGCUUGCUUCUCCCUUCCUCUUUUCUCUCUCUUCCCCCCUCUCUCUUCUCUAUCAGUCUGUCUGC
Pseudonaja textilis is the source of this 459-nucleotide non-coding RNA. The record is from RefSeq and is a predicted model, not a curated record. NCBI's taxonomy places the organism in Eukaryota, Metazoa, Chordata, Lepidosauria, Squamata, Elapidae.